GAUGAACGCUGGCGGCGUGCCUAAUACAUGCAAGUCGAGCGAACGGACGAGAAGCUUGCUUCUCUGACGUUAGCGGCGGACGGGUGAGUAACACGUGGAUAACCUACCUAUAGGACUGGGAUAACUUCGGGAAACCGGAGCUAAUACCGGAUAAUAUUUUGAACCGCAUGGUUCAAAAGUGAAAGACGGUCUUGCUGUCACUUAUAGAUGGAUCCGCGCUGCAUUAGCUAGUUGGUAAGGUAACGGCUUACCAAGGCAACGAUGCAUAGCCGACCUGAGAGGGUGAUCGGCCACACUGGAACUGAGACACGGUCCAGACUCCUACGGGAGGCAGCAGUAGGGAAUCUUCCGCAAUGGGCGAAAGCCUGACGGAGCAACGCCGCGUGAGUGAUGAAGGUCUUCGGAUCGUAAAACUCUGUUAUUAGGGAAGAACAUAUGUGUAAGUAACUGUGCACAUCUUGACGGUACCUAAUCAGAAAGCCACGGCUAACUACGUG
RNAcentral lists this ribosomal RNA (497 nucleotides) under uncultured bacterium. Its description in RNAcentral is "partial 16S ribosomal RNA". It matches the Rfam family "Bacterial small subunit ribosomal RNA", at positions 28 to 507 of the family's 1533-position model. The record is from RNAcentral.